UUGAGGAUUGUAUUUAUAAUUCAGAAAAGUUUGAUGAAAGAACAUUGUGAGUGAAUGACUGAAUAUUCAAAGACUCAUUUUCUUUAGAUAAGAAGGUAGAAGUAUAAUUGCUUAUUUGAAAUAUGUCUGGUUGUUUGAGGGAUCACCAGCUUUACUAUUUACUAGGAAUUUGAGGAGAGUGCAUUUAAGACUUCUUCGGUUCAGAUUAAAGGAGGAAGCCUCUGGAUUUUCUGUUUAAGACCAGCAGAGUUUUAGUAUUUCUCUUCGGUAAUGGGAAAUUCUUAUAAGAAAGAUAGAAGUGUUUAAUAAAUGAGCUGCACACAACACAUUUGGGUCCCAAACUAUGGAAGAGAGGAGCAGGAAAGAGAGCAACUGCUUACAUGGAGGCUGAGCUGAUGCUGCUGUUUCACAGCUGAUGUGGGGAAGGAAGUUAUCUCAACUGGCAGACUCAUCCAGACCUUCAGGGCAAAUCUGAGUUUUUUAUUUUUCUUUCCCUUCUUGAAACUUGUACCACGGUAGCAAUGAAAGAAAGCUGCACCAGAACCAAUGUCUGGAAAGCUGGAGUUACAACAGACUGGAUGGUGAAGCCACAGGGUCUCACUAGUAGAAAAGGCUGGUUAAACCGUAACAAGAACAAGACUUUUCUGUUCAGGAAUAAACUACUACCUCCCUGUGAUGAAUGGUUGAAACUGCUUUGAAUUAAACUUGUGUUGCUGGUGUUCUACUGUAAGGCUAUGUAUGUGCUACUGGAAAAUCAGAAUUUUGUAUACAAAUCUAUAAAAACAAGUUAAUUAUGAUAUCUGAUAAGCGCUGGAGAUUAAAC
Molecule: long non-coding RNA, 823 nt
Filed under: Phasianus colchicus (ring-necked pheasant)
Lineage: Eukaryota; Metazoa; Chordata; Aves; Galliformes; Phasianidae
Description: lncRNA (ENSPCLG00000010925.1)
Source: RNAcentral